ACCUUAUACACUUAGGGUACAUAAGGUUUUCACAAAAACUGGUCGGGGUCCUUGGCUAAGAGGAGACUCUGUCUUGGGCCCGCUGGUGUAAAAAACUGCACUCCACUAUCUGCUUUGUCCUUCUGAGUGAGUUUGUUUCCCGGAACCCAUGGCUACAAAAAUACUGAGUCCACAUUCAAAUGAACCCAGUUAUUUCCCAAAUGAGUUUAUAGAUGUUUAUUUCUUAAAUCAGGACCCAGUAAGAUUUACAUGUUGCAUUUUUUUCAGUCUCUGGUAGUCUAGAACAGCUACACAUGGUGAGGUUUGGGACCGCAGCAUCAGAGCACCUGGAACCUGUUAGAGAUGCAGCUUCUUUGGCCCUGCUCCUGACCUCCUGUCUCCAAACUCUGGGGGUGGAGCCUGGGAAUCUGUGUUUCAGCCAGCCAUGUGAUUCUUAUUCAUGCACAAGUUUGCGAAUCACUGAUAGACCAGGCCAACUUUUCUUCCCCCUAGUUCCUUGUCCUUCACCAUCUCCUGGAGAUUGCUCAAACUCGUGUCCAUCAAGUCGGUGAUGCCAUCCAACCAUCUUGUCCUCUGUUGUCCCCUUCUCUUCCUUCAAUCUUUCCCAGCAUCAGGGUCUUUUCCAUUCAGUCGGCUCUUCGCAUCAGGUGGCCAAAGUAUUAGAGUGUAGGAAUUUAGAACCAGAAAAUUGCCCCUUUGACCUGGCAGGACGAUGACUUUUAUCACCUGGAGGAUGCCUGAGUUCAGCAGUGAUACUGAGUGGCAGACAGAAGCAACAGCGCAGAAAACCAGGGCCCCCUAGUGAUACUACGACGAGGGAGAGACUCUCAAACAGGAUCUUAAGAGAGAGAGAGAGAAAGAGGGCGCACGCGAGGGG
This is a long non-coding RNA of Bos taurus (domestic cattle), 877 nucleotides long. The record is from Ensembl. NCBI's taxonomy places the organism in Eukaryota, Metazoa, Chordata, Mammalia, Artiodactyla, Bovidae.